CAGAAAAUGUAACUUUUACUAUCAGAUAAAGACAUGAAGGUAUACAUUUGUUCUGUUUUACAAGAACAGGUUCAGUUUAAAAGCAAACAGUUACAGGCAGUAGUAUAACUUAGUGUACUUAUAUUCACACAGUCAUAAAUAAACACUCCAUUUUUAAAAUAAAUUUUUACCUUGCUGUGGUAAAAUUGCAUGUGGUUUUUUGCACUAGAUAAGCCCUCUGUAAUAAAAAUCAAACAAUACAGUAAGUUAAAUAGUAUAUACAUAUAAAGCAAAAAUAAUAAAUAUAUACCAAAAAGAGUUUGGUAUAUAUUUUAAAACAAAGUCACCAUUAAAAAGUGUUUUCAUAAAGUUAAUCCCAUUAUCUCCAAAUAUACAUAUACCAAACUCCAUUUUUAAAAUAAAAGUUACCAUUUAAAAAAAAGUUUUAAUACAAAUUAAACUUCGUAUAUACCCUACAAGUCUGAAAGAGGCCCUAUUCUUUAAAAAGACCUUACAAAAUUAAACCCCACAUCCACAGCCCAAACUGAGUGUUAACAGACAGAGACCAGGCUCCACAGGUAUGGAACAGCACAUGCUCCCAACAUGCACACAAAGUCUGAUGUUUCGCACCAUAUAAGAGGAACAGGGGCAGGGCUUCUGGUUCCAAGAUGGCAGCUAGUUCCAAGAUGGUGGCAGGGGCAUGUGAAAUUGAUAGGCUGUGUACCCUAUAUACUACUACCAUGUCAUCUGGCCCAUAGGGCUCCCUAUGGGUCAGGAAAUUUGACAUGAGGAAGUGGUGCCACCGCUACCCCACAUGCCCUAUAUGGACAGAUCAGGCCUGAUUCUUGUUCCAAAGAAUCAUUUAUGACUGUACUUCAAUGGGACAGAAGAAGCCAGAUGUUUCUGGAAGCUGGGAAAGUUUUAGGCAUUGGAGAUGAGUAAGUGGUUGGGAAAAGGUAUGCCAUACAUGGUGAGGGGGUUGUGAUGACUGUGAAACUGAAGUGAAGCUGGGUCUGCUCAUAACAAUUAAACUACAAAAUAUUAAUGACAAAUGCAUAGUGCAAAGAGAUGUAAGUUUGCAGCUGGGCUUUUCUGAAAAGAAAUAAUGAGGUGUCACUUGUAGCUUAUCUUAUUAUACCUGUCCUGAUUUUAAGCAGGCUCCUAUGUGUCUGGUAUUUGCUGUGUUAAAUGUCUAUCCUUGAUUAAUUACUAUGGUAAAUAUUUCUUUAUAAUUAACCCAUGUUUAUGUGCAGGAGGAGACAUUUUCCAUAUGGGGCUUGAUAGUUGUCUCCUUCUGAUUAACUCGUGUUUUGCCUCAAUGGUUCCCUUGAUCUUCCAAGGACAACUCUUCAAAAAUGCUUUGUCUUUCUCCCAGUUGUUAAUCAAUUUCCUGAUAUGUUCCAAAUCAGUAGAGACUGAUACUCAGUAACAAGAGGUUAAGGUAAUUCAGUCAAAAUUGGGACUUUCCAAUAACAAAUAACAAAUAGUUGAAAACAGGAUCUUCCUGUUUGUUAUUGCUUGGGGCUUUUUUAUUUUUUUUUUUACUCAACUACAAAAAUGCUUUGAAAACAUUGAGCUAAAGGGUAUAAAAAAGGAAUGAAGCAGCUAACAGGGCAUGCUUCAAGAGUGAGAAAUCAUUCAAGACAAGAACUGCUACUGAGUUCAGCUGAACUUCCAGUGACGGAUCCACACCUUGAGAAUCUGAAAAGACCAAGACUGCCUCUUUGCCUGUACUGGAUAUGGCUCAGAUACUGCCUUGCAAAUACAUCACAUCCAUCAAAGAACCAUUACACACCAUUUCCGUUCUGCCCAUCUCUGACAAUUGACCAAGCAGAAGAUUAAGAUCCUCUAGCACUUGAUCAAAAUGGGAGGGGGUGAAUGUUGUGUUGGUCAUCAACAUCCCUCUUAGCAAAACAAGUCCCAAGGUCCAAGGCUGCAGAAUCAAAGGCCAGCCUAACCUUCUGUGUAACACCAGCCACAAAGUUUCACCUAGCAAGUCUUGUAUCUACCCUAGUAUGAACAAGAGCAUAUCCUUUUGAAGGACAGCUUAUCUUGAUUUAUAGACUCCAAGUGAUGGAGACUUCACCAUGUUCCUAGAUAACCUGUUCUAAUGAUUAAUUAUUCUUGCUGUUACACAUGUUUCUGCUGGGAUGGGCUCAUUACUUACCUGUUCUGAACAGGUCUUUCAUGUCCUUCCCUUAGGCUGGAAAGAAAUCAGUACUCCCAUUGUUGCUUUCCCCUGGGUAUUUUUCCUUUCUGUUUAUCUGUAACAGCCUCUGGGCACGUCUAGGUUUAAAGAGGUUUGCUGGCAUAGUUAUAUUGACAAACUCUUCUAAUAAAGAUGUAGCUUAGUCUGGCAAGGGAGUCCUCCUGUUUAAACCAGUUUCCUGAACAGAAUAAGCUGUACAGGUAAAAGGAAUGUGUUGCCAGUAUCACUGUGUCUACAUAUUGGUAUCUGUUGGCUUUCCCAUGUCAGUUAAGUAUACAACUUUCUCAUACUCCUAACCAAUAUAGUUGUGCCAGAAAAAUAAAAAGUGUAUACUGAGCCUCUAUAAUAGCUGCAAUAAGCAUGUGGCUCCUUUGCUAAAGUGCUACCAUAAGCUGAUGUAGCUGUCACCUAAUAGAGAGGAGUGCGAUGGAGUCAUGUGGUAUGUUCUUCCUGCUUGAAGGCUCAACAAAUACCCAGAGGUGUGUAGAGUGGUGAUCUGCAUCCAGAGCUAAUUCUGGCUUACAUGUUUCACUGUCUCCCCCAGCUGAUGCUCUGCCUCUGAGCUUA
Long non-coding RNA from Gavialis gangeticus (Gharial), 2755 nucleotides. RefSeq lists it as uncharacterized. The transcript has 3 exons. The record is from RefSeq and is a predicted model, not a curated record. Lineage: Eukaryota; Metazoa; Chordata; Crocodylia; Gavialidae.